UCUAGAUCUUUACCGACCGUGAAAAUGUAUGAGAUCUAACGCGUAUGCCGUUGCGGAAUUUCACUUUGUUGUCUGCGUAACCUCCCUAUUAGAGUUCAGUGAUCGACCAGGUAAUCGACAUUAUACGAUCAAAACAAGGGUACUGUAUUCUAUUAAGCAGACGACAAGGUUACUUUGUAAACAAUCCACCUGCCUACUCGCAGGCUGAUGCAAGAAGCCGAGGUUUGAGAGUAGGCGGGACAUUUCAUUAUCUGGGACGAGAGUGGUGAUGAGCAGACUUACGAUUCAUUCAUUUCACAUCAGCGCUGGAGGCGAGGUCGGAGUAUACCAAACAAGAGGCUUCUGAACAAAGUUUGCAACCAUUCUAACGACUGGUGCCGAGGCCGGUUUGUGGCGGUAUAAAACAAUGUGGUUCCGGUAGCAAGCAUUUUCGCCGACGAUCGGAUAAGAAGAGCUAGCUUCAAUUAUUGACGCUGCAUUCGGAUUUCUCUGAGAAAAACAAGAGCCGUGAGUAAGAGCAGACAUGGAGAGCAACUGGAGACAACUCGUCUACACUUUACUGCUUGUCAUCUUAAUGUUGUGUUAUUUUGCCAGUGAGGCAGAGGCGUAUGACGUCUGCGCGAACGAGAGGUGCCUCCGGUAUAAAGGAACAACCAGAUACUUCGACUGUAUUUUUAGCUGCAAAAUGGCAGGAUAAAAAUGUGUCUAUAUAGAGUCGUCUUUUUGGGAGCGGGUAGUCGUAGUACGGGAAAUGGACACUAGGGGCGCAAGAAGCUUAUUUUGAGUUUUCAGUAUUAAAUUGAGAAAUAAAGUUACACCAAAAGACAAACUAUAUUGGAUACAAAGUUAUAAAAUGUUAUAUGUAUUGUGUACAAAAGGUGGCAGAGAAAUGGACUUCAUUAUACCAAAGGAGUUGAAGUGUUGGAUGGAAUAAAACGAGCCAUUUCAGAAUGAAUA
Molecule: long non-coding RNA, 957 nt
Organism: Lineus longissimus
Lineage: Eukaryota; Metazoa; Nemertea; Pilidiophora; Heteronemertea; Lineidae
Exons: 5
Source: RefSeq, a predicted model, not a curated record